Molecule: non-coding RNA, 73 nt
Organism: Danio rerio (zebrafish)
Lineage: Eukaryota; Metazoa; Chordata; Actinopteri; Cypriniformes; Danionidae
Source: Rfam
GCCCGCCUACCUCAGUCGGUAGAGCAUGAGACUCUUAAUGUCAUGGUCGUGGGUUCGAAUCCCACGUUGGGCG